CUCGGCAUCAGCAGGGCGGUUUAAGGUGACAGCUUCUAAAUUCUAGAAAUACAUAAACACUCGAAACACCUGGAGUGUAUUCCAUAUUUAGAACAUGGAAUGUAGCAAUAAGUAUGUGGAAUAUUUUUACCAGCAAAACGCAAGUAAAUUUGCCCCACGGCAGCAAUGUACAAUGGGUCCAAGGAUGCAAUGUCACCUGAUGCCAAGAUUCAAGGAUAGCUAUACUGUAGGUUGAUUUCCUCACUUCUUCAUCAAUGGACAAUGGGGUCGUCAUCCU
RNAcentral lists this long non-coding RNA (277 nucleotides) under Paramuricea clavata. Lineage: Eukaryota; Metazoa; Cnidaria; Anthozoa; Malacalcyonacea; Plexauridae. The record is from RNAcentral.